Gorilla gorilla gorilla (western lowland gorilla) is the source of this 106-nucleotide small nuclear RNA. The record is from Ensembl. NCBI's taxonomy places the organism in Eukaryota, Metazoa, Chordata, Mammalia, Primates, Hominidae.
GUACUCACUUCGGCAGCACAUAUACUAAAAUUGGAAUGAUACAGAGAAGAUUAGCAUGGCCCUGUGCAAGGAUGACACACAAACUCAUGAACGAUUCCAUAUUUUU